Molecule: ribosomal RNA, 468 nt
Filed under: uncultured bacterium
Lineage: Bacteria
Description: partial 16S ribosomal RNA
Rfam family: Bacterial small subunit ribosomal RNA
Source: RNAcentral
GACGAACGCUGGCGGCGUGCUUAACACAUGCAAGUCGAACGGAAAGGCCCUGCUUUUGUGGGGUGCUCGAGUGGCGAACGGGUGAGUAACACGUGAGUAACCUGCCCUUGACUUUGGGAUAACUUCAGGAAACUGGGGCUAAUACCGGAUAGGAGCUCCUGCUGCAUGGUGGGGGUUGGAAAGUUUCGGCGGUUGGGGAUGGACUCGCGGCUUAUCAGCUUGUUGGUGGGGUAGUGGCUUACCAAGGCUUUGACGGGUAGCCGGCCUGAGAGGGUGACCGGCCACAUUGGGACUGAGAUACGGCCCAGACUCCUACGGGAGGCAGCAGCGGGGAAUAUUGCACAGUGGGCGGAAGCCUGAUGCAGCAACGCCGCGUGCGGGAUGACGGCCUUCGGGUUGUAAACCGCUUUCGCCUGUGACGAAGCGUGAGUGACGGUAAUGGGUAAAGAAGCACCGGCUAACUACGUG